CUGGGCCUCUGGCAGUCUCUAUGGGGGUGCCAUAGGGUUCAAUUCUUGGGCCGACUCUUCUCUGUAUACAUCAAUGAUGUCGCUCUUGCUGCUGGUGAGUCUCUGAUCCACCUCUACGCAGACGACACCAUUCUGUAUACUUCUGGCCCUUCUUUGGACACUGUGUUAACUACCCUCCAGACGAGCUUCAAUGCCAUACAACUCUCCUUCCGUGGCCUUCGAUUGCUCUUAAAUACAAGUAAAACUAAAUGUAUGCUCAUUGGUCACUGAUUUUGAAUGCUUGUUUUGUUGUCGUAGGGUUGGGAGGAGGACAUGCUGCCUGAGGAGAGGGAGGUUCCUCUGGUAAACCUCUACCUAACCACCAAGAGAGUGGAGGACAUCGCCCUGAGGCUCGUCUCCCUGCGCCAGGCCUUCACUACCCUGCUUGGUUCCACCCUGAGCAGGAACCAUCUGUUUGUGGCGGGAAAGGUCCUCCUGGGCGCCCUGGUUCGGGCCAACCACAUGGUAACUCACUAACGCAUUCUCUGUCAAGGGAAAGAGAGCGCCCCUGAGGUGAAAUGUGUUCUGUUCACUAAGAUGCU
Salvelinus fontinalis (brook trout) is the source of this 581-nucleotide long non-coding RNA. RefSeq lists it as uncharacterized. The record is from RefSeq and is a predicted model, not a curated record. The transcript is spliced from 3 exons. NCBI's taxonomy places the organism in Eukaryota, Metazoa, Chordata, Actinopteri, Salmoniformes, Salmonidae.